This is a long non-coding RNA of Pan troglodytes (chimpanzee), 1611 nucleotides long. RefSeq lists it as uncharacterized. The transcript is spliced from 3 exons. NCBI's taxonomy places the organism in Eukaryota, Metazoa, Chordata, Mammalia, Primates, Hominidae. The record is from RefSeq and is a predicted model, not a curated record.
AGAGCAAAGCUUUAAGAAGUGGGGACCAUUCACAACAUUUCAACCUCAGUUUAACACUUAAAUAUGUGAAUAAAAUAUAGGUAACCAGGAAAAUAAAUCUCAGUGCUGCUGUUUUUCUAAUGUUGAUGACCAUGUCCGACAAUUUGAAUCUCAGUAGCUGAGGCACCCUCCCUUUAGGAGCCAUUAAAGCCACCUCCCCCAAUGUAAUCUAUCUUUUCUGCUGGAAAUCCUUUUUGCCCCCCACACGUAUCUCUGAGCCAUGCUCUCAUUCUGCUUUACACUUCAUAUGACUUUCUCUUUCUGCACCUGUGCCCUGGCUGGGAUGCUAUGGCAAGUUCCACCUCCCGGGAAUUCCCUGAUUUCCCCAACUCUCAUCACUUCUAGGUCACUUACUGUCAACACCCAUUUGUACCUGCCCUGAGCUAUCCUUUAAGGUUCAAGCCAACAGCCAUGUGGGCGAGACCUCCUGGAGGCAGAUUGUCUAGGCUCAAUCAAAGCACAGAAGACUGCAGCCCUAGCCAAUGUCUUAGACUGCAACCUCACAAGGGACCUUGAGCCAGAACCACCCAGCCACUCCUGGAUUCCUGACGCACAAAAAUGAUAUCAGAGGUGGUCAUCACAAUGUUAAUUGAUAAUAAAAGUUACCCUGUUACAAAGCACACAGUAUUGUACUAGAGAUAAGCUUGGAAAAUAUUGACAGUUGGAUUCAGUGUUUAGCAUAGAGUCUUAUUUAUAUUGCAUAUGGAAUCCUCAACACUGGCCAAUGCCAACACAUGGAAGAAGAGGCCCCUGCAGUAUUCACCACAGACAAGCAUGAGGGCACAUCCCUGAAAGGGCAAAGGGAGAAAAGACAGACUUCCUGGGCCUGGUCCCGAUGGUACUACCCGGCAUAUCUCUGCCCACAUCUCUGUGUUUACACGUUGACUUCAGUGAGUUUCCUGCAAGCUUGUUAUCAACAGGAUCCCAGCUGGUAAUUUACUCUGCCCUCUGCCAUUUAAUCAUUCCAACAGAACCUCACUUACGGCGUACCCUAGAUGACCUCACACCCCUUCACAGGCAGAAUUCUGUUCUGUUAUUCAUUCAAACAUUGUCUUCCCAAAGGAAAUUCCUAAGUACUUUAAUUAUGGUGGGGAGGGGGGCAGUAUGGAAAAAAGCUUGCUAAUCCCCAUUGUCAGUGUUCCUGAGACCUGGAGAAGCACAACUCCGGAGUCUUCAUUUUGUAGAUGGGAGACAGGCUUAGUAAGAUGUCCUAAAGCCUGAAGGUGGCCACCAGUUAGCUCCAGGAUUCUUUCUCUUUCUUGGGGGCCCAUGGAAUUGCAUAUGAACAUGUACACUGGGGUCAACAGCAUGGACUCCAAAUCCUGAUGCCACAAUUACUACACAAGAGAAUGUGGGCAAGUCAGAAACUUUCUGAGCCUCAGUUUCCUCACCUAAAAAAACAGAGAUAAUACCUAUAACUUGCAGGUGGUUGCAAAGGUAAAAUGAAAUAAAGAAAAAGUGUCCUAGACAGCAUGCAGCAAAGGGCUGGUGUUUGAUAAAUGCAAUUUACUGAAUGCAAUAAAUUAUAAUGAGCUGAAUGUAACAUAAUUAAAUUACAGUAUUGAAUUCUUA